Molecule: small nucleolar RNA, 73 nt
Filed under: Monopterus albus (swamp eel)
Lineage: Eukaryota; Metazoa; Chordata; Actinopteri; Synbranchiformes; Synbranchidae
Description: Small nucleolar RNA SNORD2 (ENSMALG00000007056.1)
Rfam family: Small nucleolar RNA SNORD2
Source: RNAcentral
GAGUGAAAUGAUGCUUAACCAUCUUUCGGGACUUACCUAUUAAUGGGGAUAAGUUUUUUCUCACUGAUCACUC